ACUCAGGUCGGGUAGUAUUAGCCUCGUAGGCGUGGGUGGUAACAUGUAUCUCAAUAGGGCGGGCCUGCUUGAGUUGCAUGCCAGUGGGGUCACUCUCAGUGAACCCACUGGGUGUAGUCCCCGAGACCGCUGUCGACUGCUUGUGUCGGCAGGGGUCUGAAGAACUUAGACUUUUAUUGUUGAAUUAUCUGAUUAUCUCU
RNAcentral lists this long non-coding RNA (200 nucleotides) under Hordeum vulgare. RNAcentral's name for it is "long non-coding RNA (HVUL_LNC021323)". Lineage: Eukaryota; Viridiplantae; Streptophyta; Magnoliopsida; Poales; Poaceae. The record is from RNAcentral.